GCCACUGCUAUUGGGGUUCGGCUAAGCCAUGCGAGUGGAGGGCGUCCCGCAAGGGGUGGCCCCGCAGACGGCUCAGUAACACGUCGUCAACCCACCUUAGGGUGGGGGACAGCCUCGGGAAACUGAGGAUAAUCCCCCAUAGGCGGGGGAGGCUGGAAUGCGCCCCCGCUGAAAGCUCAGGCGCCCUAGGACGGGACGGCGGCCUAUCAGGUAGUUGGUGGUGUGACG
Molecule: ribosomal RNA, 228 nt
Filed under: uncultured archaeon
Lineage: Archaea
Description: partial 16S ribosomal RNA
Rfam family: Archaeal small subunit ribosomal RNA
Source: RNAcentral